GUCCAGCUGAGUGUGUCUCAGCCGCUUACAGACUCCCUGCUGAGUCCUGUAAACAGUCGCGACUUGGCCCUGAUCAGCUAGUGAGACUCGCAUUUAUUAGAAUAACCCAGUGGAAAUCUCUCACACAAGAAGUGAUAGAACUACACAUCUGAAUGCAGGACGAUCUGAUUCUAAAGUCCGUGCCUUUGACUACUCAGUAAUUAUUGCUUCCUCUGUAAUGCAGAUAACCACUUUGUGUAUUUGGUGAGCCUGCAUGGCACAGUGAGCCCGCAACUGUGAACUCAGGAAAUUCUGUACCUUCCCGUGCAGUCACUCCCUAGCCAUGCAGGUAUUUCCAGAGCCUGGAGAUCCCAGACUACCUUUCAAAAGAAUGAAUUUCAGAACCAGAGAGGCCCCUGGAGGAGAUACAUGGCAAGCAGCCGUACGAAAUAACAGAAGCCCCAGAGAGGGGAAGCGAUUUCCUGCCUAAGUCAUCCAUCUGUCAGUGGCAAAGCUAGGACUGGAACUCAGGAUUCUCCAUCCCUCUUCCCAAACCUGGCACUAUCUUCCUGGCUUUCUGGGUCUGGAGUCCCAUGCUAGAGGCCCCUGUUUUCAGAGCAGGGCUUCAAGGAUCCUUCCUGGAAAGAUACAGAUUCUUCUCAUGUCACCCAGGCUGGGGUACAGUGGCAUGAUCAUAGCUCACUCUAGCCUAGAACUUCUGGGCUCAAGAGAUCCUCCUGCAUGACCCUCUCAGGUCAGUGCAGUGGUAAGAAGAAGUCGAGAGCCUGGAUUCCAGUGUUGUCCUCAUCAUCUACUAGCUGGGUGACUUCGAGCGAGAUGCCUGCUCUAUGACUGACUCAUUCCUGUCUCAGUAUAAAUGUCACUUCCUCAGGGAAGCCUUCCCUGAUUCUCCGGGUAAAGCUGUUUUCCUGUGGAGAUCGUUCAUGAAUCUGUUCUUCCCACUAACCUCUAGGCUCGAGGGAUAGUGUAGGGCUCUUGCCAUGGAACCUGCCUGCCCCACUCAGCUGCCAUGAGAUUAACGUGCUCACUUUUAUGUCUUAACUCUAGAAGGCAGCAGUCAAAAUUGGAAGAACAAAGAAAGAGAUAGAAAUAAAAUGAAUUUGUGUACAUGUAUCAGCAUGUAUUAAUUGUUCAACAAA
Long non-coding RNA from Symphalangus syndactylus (siamang), 1139 nucleotides. RefSeq lists it as uncharacterized. NCBI's taxonomy places the organism in Eukaryota, Metazoa, Chordata, Mammalia, Primates, Hylobatidae. The record is from RefSeq and is a predicted model, not a curated record.